Non-coding RNA from Misgurnus anguillicaudatus (oriental weatherfish), 1318 nucleotides. The record is from RefSeq and is a predicted model, not a curated record. Lineage: Eukaryota; Metazoa; Chordata; Actinopteri; Cypriniformes; Cobitidae.
GCUAAAGAUUUUCAUAAAACAUAUCGUUUAUUUUUUUUUAACAAACAGACGAGGAACUGUAAUGCACAUCUAAAUGGACAUAGCACCCAUUGUUAAGUUUCCAAAGCAUACACGACAAAAAAGUAAUAUAUUAGCAGAUCCUUAAGCAUGCAUUUUAAUUUGAUUUUUAAAUUAUAACCAUAUAUAUGUAUUAUUGCAUUAUAUAUUUUAAGUGUACAAAAACUUUGCAAACAUUGCUGCUCUCUGCUUCAUGCAGAAACUAGCCUGUUGUUUUUCAGUCGUUAAAGCGCAUGGUCUGACUCACAGAUCAAUCUGAAAGAAGCACGUGCCUUUCAUCUGGACCUCAGGAAGGAAACUAUUUGGAGUUACUAAUAGGGAUCUAGAGCUGUCAUUUCAAAAAGCUUUAAGACUCUGAAAUACCCUUUUGUUGCUCUGCAUCUCUGAAGCAACAACAAAAGCCAGUGAUAAACCGAAAGCUUUCACCUCCUCAACGUCUGCUGCCAUAGGCAACACAGCAGAGGGAAUAAAGCAGAGCUAACGAUCAGUAACCAUGCUAACGACCUGCAAUCACAACGAUAACAGAUUGACGAGUUUCGUUAGGGAUAGAAAAGGAACAGAAUACAAAGCAACUACAGUACACUUCCCGAAUGAUGGGGAGACAACAUAUUUUCAUUUUACAAAGCUGUGUUUUUUUGUGACUUUACAAUUUCUAUGACUGUUCCAUUAACGUAAUGUUAAACUGUGAUUGAUCUUAUAUGACAGUGUGUAAGCUACUACUGCUUUACGCCUAAGAUUUCUUCUGGUAGUCCAGCAUUACACUAAUAUUGUCUUCAGGUUAUUUUCUGCUUUAUACAGAAUGUAGUGUAAGGUGAUGUCAUCAUUUUAUGAAGCCUGUUUAUAGAUCAUGUUAACUGCGCCUACAACUAUUAAUCCGUUGUAUGUUUGGCUGUGAUUUAUGAAUGAUUAGCUGCACCCAAAUACUUGUGAAUAGAUUGCCAUUGUGUAUAAAUCAUGGAAGGUUAAGGGUUGCAUAUCAUUCUCUUUGUAAGAAGAACAGCUCAUACAAAGUGUGUCCUAGUUUUGUAACGCUGGGCCAGUCUGUUGACUCCAAAGAAUGAAACAUAUCCCUAUAUCUCAGUGACCUUCUCUUGAAAGAGGACUAAAUGUUCAGCUCACAUUCCUGAGAUAAUCGAAACUGCAGGCUGAGAGAAUAUUGUUUAUGUUUGUUUUGCCAAGUGCACUUUAUCUGCGUAAUUGCUUUUCAGAUUUAAUGAGCUAACACUUAAAUGACGUAAUGCAUCUGAUAAAGUUAAUAUAA